CUCUCUCUCUCUUCUAUUUCCUCCCUCGCCCAGCCCAGCGCCGCCGCCAUCGCCUCCUCGCCCAGCCAAGCACCGAUGCCAUCGCCGCCUCCUCUCCGAGCGCCGCCGCCGCCGCCUCCUCUCCCAGCACCGCCGCCGACGCCAUAACCCCUUCCCCUAUAUCCCAUGGGGUCGGGGUGAGCACCGUCGACCCCAUCGUUUGUCCUCUGCCCACGCAAGUCCGUUCACCUCGGCCUCCUCCUGUGUCGUCGUCGGCCCAGCAGAGGCGGUCGAGCCGUUGAGGUGAGCAGCGUCGGGCAACUGUACGCGUAGGGAUCUAGGCGGGGAAGAGCUGCAGCCGACCGCCAAGGGGGAGGGGCCCAAGGAUAGGCCUGCGCUGGCGGUGGCGAUGACGGAGGCGGAGGUGCAAGUGAAGGAGCAGGACGGAGGUGUGGUGGACAAGGCCGCCAUGGCCGCCUUUGACACAGCGCCUGCAUCUUCAUCCACUGCCUCUCUGCCAUGUGUCUUCUGAUUACCACAAUAACACAAUUUCCUUAUUCAUGCUUUACGGAUUCUUGCUGGAGGAGAUGAACUUUUAUGGCUGAUGCUGUUGUUAUUAUAGAGGAGCUGUUCAAGGCCAAGGUUUUCCUUGUGAGAAUGCCAUAAUUACAAGAAAAGAUUGCCUGAAAGGUCUUUAUGGAGAUGCACUCACUCGGUCAGUUGCCCAUUGUAUUUUUUGGCCUGUUUGUUACAAUUUCUUGAGGCACAUAAUGCUGUUCGUACAACCUGCAGGUUAGAGGGCCUACCGAGGCUAGCGGGAGGUCUGCUAUGGCAUCGAUGAUGUAGGUGUCAUGACUGUGAGGACUGCUCACACUUCUCCGCUCACAAACCGUGUGGCAGAGUAAAUACUCCGGUCCACGACAAUUAGACCUUCCUCCCUCUCAGCUAUGGUGCCACAAAGUGCCCAGGCAGCAGGAAGCACAUAUAAAACCAUUGAUGCUCUUUUCCGUAGGAGAAAUAAGUGAACGGGCAAUCUUUUCAUCUCUGUAUAAAUUCAGAUGUGAUUAGCCAGGUCCAGAAGUUGGAUUCUUGAUGUGCACAUAAAUACGUUGAGAAGAUGGAACUAGAAUUAAGCUUCCGUCCAUCUGCAGGUCACGGCUAACGUCAUCAAGCAUCAACAUCAAGAAACAAGCAGCCAACAGAAUGCAGCAAAGCAGCUAGCGGCAGCAAGCAGCAAACAACAUCAGCAGCAUGCAGAGGCGAUUUCUCACCUUGCUGUUAGUGCCGAGGUCGGGCGGAGCAGAGCAACGAGCUCCACACAGUGGCAAUGAUGGUCAGCGUCGAGGAAGAAUUAGGAGGGACCCAUGGCUUCGAAUGCCGAGGUCGGGCGGAGCAGAGCAACGAGCACCACACAGCGGCAAUGACGGUCAGCGUUGAGGAAUAAGUAGGAGGGACCCAUGGCGUGGUCCAGGGGAGACGUGGACAACGCGGAGCCCAUCACGGUCUGUCGAGCUGUUCGGUGAGGAGGAUGACCGCAGCGGCGACCGACGGAACCGAAGAAGGCAGCCUCGGUCCAAGAGGUUCCUGCGCGCUGGCACCCGGAAUCACCAUUAAAGGGACGACAGGAGCAACAUUAAUGAAGCUAGGAGUCUACUAGGAGCAAGAAUGCACCAGAAAUACGAGGUGGUUCCCGGCGGUGUCCAGCGGGCAUGCAUGUCAGAGCCAGAGGUGUGGACGUCGAUCCCGACCGAGGGCUGGUGUAUCCGGCCGAUUCAUUCGGUUGACGUUGCAACAGCGACUGGCAUCCCCGGCGAGCUGGACGAGAAAGGGGAUCUAGGAGGGAAAUGAAGUGAGGGAAGCAACGGGGCAGAGUAGGAGAAAAGGUGAAGGGGCAGGGGUUUGCCGGCGCGUGUCCCUGCGAGAUGGUGAUGUGGGCGUGGUGGUUCAGUAGUGGGGGCCGGUGGCAGCUGUCUUCCACCAUGUAUGCUGAAGGCAUUCCAUCUAAAACAACAUUGAGUGCGUGCUUAGAUCAGGUAAGACAAUGGCAAGAAUAAAUCCACCUAUCUGACUUUCCUCUAGGCAUUUCAAUUUGUCAGGAGCUGAAAUAUUGUGACCCGUGUUCAUUUAUGUGUUGCUAACUUUACAAGCGGCAAUCACACACUGCUUACACCAUGUACUAUUGGAUUGACGCACUUCCUUGAGCUCUA
Triticum dicoccoides is the source of this 2186-nucleotide long non-coding RNA. RefSeq lists it as uncharacterized. NCBI's taxonomy places the organism in Eukaryota, Viridiplantae, Streptophyta, Magnoliopsida, Poales, Poaceae. The transcript has 8 exons. The record is from RefSeq and is a predicted model, not a curated record.